UACGGAGGGUGCAAGCGUUAUCCGGAUUUACUGGGUUUAAAGGGUGCGUAGGCGGCCCGUUAAGUCAGCGGUGAAAGCCUCCAGCUCAACUGGAGAACUGCCAUUGAUACUGGCGGGCUUGAGUACAGACGAGGUUGGCGGAAUUGAUUGUGUAGCGGUGAAAUGCAUAGAUACAAUCAAGAACACCGAUUGCGUAGGCAGCUAACUAGGCUGUAACUGACGCUGAGGCACGAAAGCGUGGGGAGCGAACAGG
Molecule: ribosomal RNA, 253 nt
Filed under: uncultured bacterium
Lineage: Bacteria
Description: partial 16S ribosomal RNA
Rfam family: Bacterial small subunit ribosomal RNA
Source: RNAcentral